UCCAUAUGAUUCUGUUGCCAAAGGAAAGACAUUGGUUGCGAAGCUGCUAAAUUUACCUGAAACAUCUUAAGGAUGGUAAAGUCAAUAGGUUUGACUCUACUUCAGGUAAAGUCCAUUGUCUAACUCUAUUAAGUUUCUAUUCUGAGAUUCUUAUUGCAUAAUGUGACGAGGUCACAUGUUGAUGUUUUAAGAAUCAAAGAAAAGGUGAAGAAACUUAAAGGAAGUAUAUGCUGAUUCUGAUCGCGAAGAUGGAUUUCGAUCGCAUGGUUCGGUGAUCAGAAUUUUGAGUUGUUACUUAAGAGUUAUGAUAUAUUGCUUAGGAAUAGAUAACAACAAGUUUUCCAUAUGGAUUGUAAGGAUAAAUUUUUCCGCAAAGUUUUAAAAUAAAAGAAAAAUGGUUUUGAUUUUAUUUAUUUUAAGUAUCCUUACAAUGGCAUUUGUGAAAAAUUGUUGAUUAUAUGUUUCCAUGGAUAAGAAAUAUGAGUAAAUGGAUUUGAUUCUUUCAUUAGUGGAAGUGUCAUAAUUUACCAAAUAAGGAAAGAUUCUCAUCUCCCAAGUUUCAGUUGGAUAGAAACUUGGAAUCAUGCAACUUGUAUUGUAUGAUCAUGAGAAUUUUUUUAUAUAUUUGGGAAAUUAAGUCUAAUUCCUUGUUCACAUGUAUAUGUGAAUCAAGUGAAGGACAAAGGGAUCGGAUACACUUGGGUGUGCGUUGAUCAGGUCCACCACAAAGUUGAUAAGAUUAUUCAUUAUGAUUUACUAAAGUUUAGUAAAUAUGAUUAUACUUACAAGUUUAAGUAUAGUUCUGGAUCAUUGGAGAAGUUUCAAUGAUAGACAUAAUGAGUAAGAAGAAUCAAAUAAGGCAGAAAGAUAAAAGUUUCUCUAAUCUGAAGAGAUGGGAGAGUACUUGAGUAUCUUGUUUUAUGAUUAUCUUAGUGAUUAUGAAACCAUGUCACAAUUGAUCCUCUAAGGACACCUUAGUUCAUUUUGUUUGGCUAAGGAGAGGAAUCGUGAAUUGUUGAAAUGGUUAGAUCAAAAGAUAAAUUAUACUUCGUUCCAAAAUUAAAUCUUAGAGUCAUAAUCCAAGAUUAAGCCUUGAGUGACAUAAUCUUAAGAAACGUUUAAAAUACUUGUUAAAUGUAGAGUAAAAUGUGUUCUUACUCUUAUACAUUUGAUGUUGGUAAGUUGUGAUGUUUUGGAUAAAACAAAGACCAACUUAGGCCAAUUGGGUAAAGUGUUUUUCUUGAUUAGAAUCCGCACUAUCUCUUGGAUGUUUGACAAGGGAGUCUUAUAUGUCAAGAGGACAGUGGGAGUCUUAAAGGUCUUGAAAGUCUCAAGAACUAAUCAAGAAUAAAACCUGAAGUUCUUCACUAGCACACGACUUGAGGUUUAUAACCUAUCGUGUUGACAUAUCUGUGCCCAUUCCAGUUAAAGUUGGCUUUGCAUAUGAGUUCUUAGAGUUCUCAAUUUGUUGCACAACAACUUGGAAGCAAUGGCAGGCCCUUGAGCUGCCAGGUGGCAAGAAAUUAAGAUUGAGUUCAGUCCAUAUGAGUUUGGAUUUGUCAUUAUCCUUGUCUUGUGACUAUGGUUUUGACAAUUCACAUGGAUAAGAACACAUACACCAUUAAAUCUAAGUGUCAUAAGGUUUCUCUCCGAUUCAUGAAAAUGAUGGUGAGGAAACACUUUCACUAAGUAGAUUUUAGCUAGAUAGCAAUUGUGAUAUUUGCAUUCUCAAAGUCGUUAGUGGAGCGCGUGUGGUUAACCGGCACACUAAUUUGGACUUGUGAGAAGUGGCAAAAAGGUCUAAACAUUAUGAUUACGGCAUCCCUCUUCAUAAUUGUUUAGAUACACAAGUGUGCUAUCUAAGGGAAGGUGUAUGAUUUUGAUAAAGCUUUAUCAAAACAAUCUAGCAUCAGAAAUCUGAACUUUGGUAAGAAAGUCAAUGAAGUAUUGAUUUCUAGAAGUCCAGCUGAUUUCUGAGUACAUGUCAAAGCUAGUGGGAGCAUAAGUGUUAUGCUAAUAAUCAUCAUGUUAGUGGGAGCAUGAUAAUUAUGAUAAGUAUUGCAAGUUAGCAAUGUUAAUUAUAGAAAACAAAAGUUUCAAUUGGGAAAAAGUUGUUUUGCUAUAAUUAAGGGAGAGGAAAUUAUACUUCAUCUCAAAUCUAUAAGCUUAGAUCGUGAGGUUUUAAUCAUUUAGUCAAGGAUAUAUAUGAAUUUCAUGUUGGAAUGGCUCAACAUAAGGAAAUUCUGUAUAUGGGUCCAUUAUUUGCGUUCUAAAAUUCGAUUAUGAUUACGGCAUCCCUUUUCAUAAUCUGAAUUAUGAGAACUUGGCAAAUUGAAAUGGAAAUAUUAUAGCAAAAGACUGGUUUAGUCUUUAUGUGAGACAUCAUGAAUCGUGUCCCAUAUGCUUCGGAUAUAGGAUCGAUUACAUGUGCUAUAUUCAUCCGUUCUAAAAUUUUCCAAAUGCCUGGGGCAUUAAGAAGGGAAAAGGUUUAGAACUGGAUAUGACUAAAAGGAUUAAACAAUUGUCGAGGACAAUCUAAGGUUUACCAAAGAUUGGUUGCUCAAGGACAGUUGGAAGUAUAGUGAUAAUUCUGGAAGGACCAUAUUGACAUAAUCUGUAAGGAGGCAACUCUUGUUCAGAAGUGAUAGUCAAAAUGGAAUCUGGAAAUGUUUCAAAGUUAGAAUUUUCAAUCUGUUUAAGAUUAGGAAACUUAAUGCAAGAAGGAUGUUUCCAAGGAGCUGAUCUCCUUUGGAAUACUCUGUAAUGAUUGUUGUCAAGUCUUUCUGACUUUGUGCAUAAUCAUUACAAGAGGAUCAAUGCAUAUAAGUUUAGAAUCUAACAGAUUUCAGUAAAUGGCAUGAAUUUGGAAUUCUUGCAUUUGCAGUAAGGAUUUGGGAGUGUGAAAAGAGAAUCAUUGAAGUUAUGUUCAAUUGAUCUAGUUCACAAAGUAAAGAUCAUAGACAAACAUAGUAUGCAUACUUGGUGUGUGGCAUGACUAGUGUUUAAGAAAACAUAGUGUACAUGCUUGGAGCAUGGGACAACUAUUGUUUUAAAUUCAAGAAUAAAGUUGAUAGCUGAAACAGUAUACAAUGAAUAAUGUGUAAUCAUAUGGUGAUAAAUAAAAGGUGUUUUAUUUAUGUUCAAAGUUUUGAUACCAUAUUGGAUUCAAUUAUUAUUGUGUUUCACUUUGCAUGUUUUGACUUCCCGAAUAAACUAGGUUAUUCUUCCGGAAUGACUAAGUUAUUCAAACCAUCCACAGUCGGUCAUAUGUUGGAAGUAGAUAUGAAUUAAGACUGUCAUGGGUUGGCUUGUAGAGGUCUAAGGUGUUGGACAAAGGGCUACAACACUCAUGAGUGCUCAUAAGUUCUGAGUAUUGGAUUCAACCCGCGCUCAUUGGAAUCACUUCAUGGAUUUUAUCACGAGUGAUCAUGAGACGAUAAUAUCUUAUAUUCUUCAAACCUAGAGAUAUGAGUUGUUACUAUGAGUUGAUAGUACAUUGAUUGCACGAAAACGCAUUUGGUAACUCGGUGCUAUAAAACGUGCCUUUGUGUAUGAUUCAACAAGUAGUAGAACAAGCCAUAUGAGUCGAAGUUUAUCCAUUCCUUUUACCUUCGGGAUAAAAGCGAUAUCUGUGGGCCCCUCGAUGAUUUGAUGAUGACAAAUGGAAGUGCUCGGCCGGGCCAGGACUGAUUUGAUUUGUUCAAUUAGUCAGUCGUCAUAAAUCAGAAAUCGGGAAACAACAAAUGGACAGAGAGAAUGAUUAUAAUCCAUGUCUCAGUCCAUAUGAUAUCUAGAAUGGAGGAAUAUAUGAUCACUUAUCUAAUGGACAAGUCAUUGACAAAGGUCAGAGUUCAUCUACAAGGUCAGAGUUCGACAGAAGCUUUUGAGAGCUACGAUUGCCAGUCGGUUCUUGAAGUCAUAUGCAAUAAUAGUUUUAGACUUAUCCAAGUGGGAAACUGUUGGAUUAAUGUCUAAGUCCAUAACUAUAAUUGGUAAGACUUGACCCGACCCGGCAUGGUCCAUUUGGGUUGCAUGGCAUCAUGCACUUGGAUAGACUAAAAUGAGAGAAAUAACACUUAAGGUUUAUUAAUAUAUUAUAAGUUCUAAUAUAUUAAUAAGAUUAUUUAAUUAGUAUUGAUCAAUAAUUAAUUUAGAAUUAAUUAUGUGAUCAAAAGAAGACUAAUUAAAUAUAUGGGUUGAUUGUGUAAAUCAUCCAUACUUAUAUAGUGGGCUAAUGCUCCAUGGAUUAUCAAGUUGGGCUCAAACCCAUUGGAUGCUCCAUGGUGUAUUUGAACCCAUGGAUCCAUGGAAAUGGAUAGCCAUGACAAUUAGGGUUUACCCUAAUUGUAACACACUAUAUAAUGAUCUCUUUCUUGGGAAAAUCGGCGACUAUGAUAUGCAUGGAGGGCAAGCCGAUUCUUGAAGUGUUCUAAUUUCUCUCUAAGUUAUUCCAAGUGCUUAUGGUGUUGUGUGAACCAUUUGAGGUGUCACACUUGGGGCACUAGGCACUCAAGCUUCAUGAAGACAAGCACCAACAAAAGGUAUGUUAUUCUAACUUGUGUUAUUCAAAGUUUUGUAUGCUAGAAUAGAACAAUACCUUGGAAAGUUGAUAUUUGCAUGUAUAAUAGAGAAAACAUAGAUCCAAGGUAUUUAGGGUUGCAUGUACACUUAGGAGUGUUAGAUUGCUCAAAACCCAACAGUGGUAUCAGAGCCUAGGCUUGUUUUCUUGUUGUACUUGCUUAAACUGCUUAAAAAUCGACUUUUGGUGCUGUCUGCCCAGCAGACUCGCCGAGUCCAUGAAGGGACUCGACGAGUCCAAGGCAAAAUGCAUCCAACUCGCCGAGUUUGUUCAUGCACUCGACGAGUUGGACCCCCAGACAGCAUAUUUUCGAGUUUUGGUGCUGGAAUUGGUCUAGAAUCAUUACCUUUGACUGUUUUGGGCUUAUAAAACUUGUUUUGAAUGUGGUAAUGAUUAUGUUAAACCAAUUUCAAUGCUAUAAUAAAAGUUUCAAGUUUAUAUGUGUUCAUGUUAUUCUUGAAAAUUGUUGAUUAUGAAUGAUCAUGCUUAUGAGUUUUGCUAGAUCAUAGGAAUUGUGUGCAAAUUGUUUGUUGAUAUAAUUCAUGAUCUUGUUGAAAAUUGUAUGGAGUUCAUAACUUGUCCUCAAGUUAUGAAUUUUCAAGAAUUUUAUGUUUCCUUGAUUUAUGAGUUAGUUUAGAUUGAUAAUGAAAAAAUUAUGUUUUAGUUGUUUUCAAUCCAUAUUAGUCUAAAAGAAGUUCAUAAAAUAUGUUUUUGUAACUUGUCUUCAAGUUAUGUGAAAAGUCAUAUUUAUGAAUCUUAAAAACUCAUAAAAGUUUUGUAGGUUACAUAAAAUGUAAGAGUUUUUUCCAUUAAAUAGUUUAAUGACUCCAUAACUUGUCCUCAAGUUAUGGAUGUUGAAGAGACACUUCUUUAAAGUGUUUUUAAAGAAUAAGGGGUUACAUUAAAAUGAAGAGUCUUCAUUUUAAUGAACCAUUAAACUCAUAAGUUAUGAUUUAAAGAGUCUUGAAAUAGUUUCAAAACUUGCCCUCAAGUUUUGGAAUUUGAAAAGUUACUCCUCAUGUAUACUUUAAUUCCAAAUUGAACAUUGAAAUUUUAAAAAGUUUAAAAUUCAACCCUUAUACUAUUAUUAUAAUUUUAAUUAUAUAGAUAUGUAUAAGAGGAAGUCAAUCUUACCGUUAGUAGGCCUCAUUCACGAAGCCGGUCUAUAAGGGGGGUAUAAGGUUACUGCCUAUAAAAUGGCAGUUUAAUGGGUGUCCACUCUCACCCACCGCUUCCUUGACUGGUGGAGGGUCGUUAGCCGAACGGGUAGGAAUGGACUAUAAUUCUCCCUUCAUUAAAAGUAUAAUGAAAAAUACUAAGUAACUAAACACUUAUAAAUUCCCAAUCUUAGUUACUUAGGAAAAUGUGAAAAGGUGCUAGCCCAUAAAAUUACACUUUGUACCUUACCAAGUCGUUAGUGGAGCGUGUGUGGUUAACCGGCACACUAACAUGGACUAGUAAGAGUGGCAAAGGGUAACUUGACUUUAUUAUAGAUCGGUGGAGCGUGUGUGGUUAACCGGCACAUCGAUUAGGUAAUAUUGUUAAGGGUACCAAGUCAAUUUGUAUGGUUAUUCACACCUUGUUUGUGAUCCUCGGCAUCCCAGUCACAAAUUUGAGAGGGCACAAUCGAGAUUCAAACAUGCCAUUGAAAAGUUCAAUGUAUCUCAAAAGAUCUAGGAGUUUCAAAACCAAUAAAACCUAAUAAUAAAAUAUUUCGUUUUCAUGGUGGAAAUUGGUAAAUCGUCAUUUACCUACCUUCAACUAUUUUAUAAUUUGGAUUACGGCAUCCCUCUUCCAGUUAUAAAUAGGUUGUUGGGUCCUAGCCUUAAUAUUUCAUAUUGGGUGUUAUAUUAAGGACUUUAAAUCAACUAACUUGAAUUUCUCCCAUUAUAGAUGUCUAGUUUAGACAGCUAUGGUCUUCCCAAAUCUUUAGGAACAAGCUUCCUAAUGAAGAUGAUAUCCCAAAUGGCAAUCAAGGUGAAAGAUCAAUCCCUUUGUUGGGCAUUUGUGGGACUAGAAAUCAUACUUCACUUCAUCCACCUCCUCCAAUAAAUCUCCCUAUCCCACAAGUUUUAAGACUUGAUAAGUUCUAAGUCACUCAAUCCCUAUUGGCAAGCAAAGUCUAUAUGUGCUUAGAUCUUGGGGAUUAAGCCACAUAUUGACAAGUCGGGAGAGUCGGGUGUCGAAGUCUCGAGGUAGCUGGCUGCUGACUUGGUUCUUCAGUCACUCCCUGAUGACAGGUCGCGACAAGACCCUUAAUGAUCUUACCUAUUUGCUUGAUGAUGCUAAAUCAGCAGUGAUUUGGAGCAUUAGUAAAGCAAAUUGGAUUGGAAGAUCUACUUUCCAAACCUAUUUGGACAUUGAAAAUGGUGACAUUGGAGGUCCAGGAAAAACUUUCUCUUCCCAAUGGAAAGGGAUCGGCCAUAGUCAACUCGGUUGACCAAAUGGUAAAGAGAAAGGUUAAGUCUGUGAUAGUCCCAUGUACCGUUUCCAAAGAGUCCAUAUGAUUCUGUUGCCAAAGGAAAGACAUUGGUUGCGAAGCUGCUAAAUUUACCUGAAACAUCUUAAGGAUGGUAAAGUCAAUAGGUUUGACUCUACUUCAGGUAAAGUCCAUUGUCUAACUCUAUUAAGUUUCUAUUUUGAGAUUUUUAUUGCAUAAUGUGACGAGGUCACAUGUUGAUGGUUUAAGAAUCAAUGAAAAGGUGAAGAAAUUUAAAGGAAGUAUAUGUUGAUUCUGAUCGCGAAGAUGC
RNAcentral lists this long non-coding RNA (7329 nucleotides) under Lactuca sativa (garden lettuce). RNAcentral's name for it is "long non-coding RNA (LSAT_LNC006566)". The record is from RNAcentral. Lineage: Eukaryota; Viridiplantae; Streptophyta; Magnoliopsida; Asterales; Asteraceae.